AUCUUACCUCAUUUCCAGUUCUUCAUGUUCCUCCUGGCGUUUUGACUCGGAACUUUGCUCAUCAGUCUUGUUCCCAAAGUUCCAGUAUGUCUCAAAGUUGUGUCUCUGUCCUUCAUGUCUGUAGUUAUCGUCACCAGAGCAAGAACCUAAAGCAAGGCCCUUGAGUUAGUGGUGAAGUCCAGGUUUGUUUAAUAAUGCUUGGCUAUAGAUUGCUCCCACACUAACUCGAUUCAAGUGCCACUGAUUUGAUGAGCCAAACUCAUUGCAUCUUGUUAGAUGAUGUACUAUAGCAGUGCUGAGGGAACCGUGAGUGGAACACUUCCAUUUUUCUCUCUUGACAUUUGGUUUUGAAUUAGAAUUAUGAAUCUCACAGUUUUAAACAUUGCUUUAUAUUCUUCCCAGACACUUGCAACAGCCUGUAGAUCCUUGAACUCAAUCACCAAUGGCUCUUCCUCAAAGCUGGCCACUCCUGCAGCAAUUUAGUGGCCUAUUCUAAGGUCACUCUCAUUCUUAUCUCUCACCUCUGAGACAGCACAAUCCAUUCAACCUCUUCCACCUGCAGUUUGAAAGACUUCUUAAUCACCUGACCCACAUUGGCAGCCAAAGCUCCAAAAGGUUCAGUUACAGCUGGGGGGCUAAGGGAAUGACUUUGAAAGCUGGUUUGCCACUUAAUUGUUCAUAAUUUAAAUUGAGGUGUAAAUAAAUACUGCCUCUAAGGUAUAAAUACCCAAAUGGCAGUUCUACAAAUAUAAGCCAGGAAAUUGGCUUGUGAUCUUUUAAUCAUAAAAGGGGUCUGUGGUUCUUUUCUAGAGCAGGGAAAGGAGUAUCAAUCUCUGUUUCUCCCUCCACUUGAAUAUCUUGAAUCAAUCCCUUGCUGCCUUUGCCACACACCAUGGUUUUACUCUGGUACCUACCUGGGGCAGGAGGUCUGUGCCUUUUUUAUGCUAAUUGUAGGAUUGGCCACCUCUCCUCCUUAAGUGAUACAUAGCCCAGCCCAAAGAAAUUUCAAGUAGCUCUCACUCAAAAAUUUCCUCUCAAUACAGACUAUAUAGAAUCACAUGCCAUAUUCCUAGACACUCAGAACAUCUUCAUGUGGACAUUUCUAGGCCAGUGGAGUGUGUUGUGUAUGAGUCCCCUCCCUUCUUCCAGUCUCUCCUUCUUCCUGUAUGCCUCCGCUCUAUUUAUACUGCAAUUUACACAUGAAAGCAGAAACUAUCAUGAUCACCUGUGUUUCUGCUGAAUAGUGCCUGGCACGUGUUAGACAUUCAGGAAAU
Molecule: long non-coding RNA, 1274 nt
Filed under: Equus caballus (horse)
Lineage: Eukaryota; Metazoa; Chordata; Mammalia; Perissodactyla; Equidae
Description: lncRNA (ENSECAG00000050013.1)
Source: RNAcentral